ACCCUGCACUGUCAGGGUGUGCACACCUCUGUCAGCCUGUACCCAACACUGUGAGGCUGCACCCAACACCUUGGUGGUGUACCCACCUCCAUCAGCCUGUACUCACCUUUGUCAGCUUGUACCCAACACCAGGAGGGUGUACCCACCUCCAUGAUGGUGUACCCAAUGCUGUCAGCCUGUACCCAACACCGUUGGGUUGUACCCACCAUGCUGACGCGGUACCCGCCAUCGUUCAGCCCUACUCACCACC
This 250-nucleotide long non-coding RNA is filed under the name Numida meleagris (helmeted guineafowl). Its description in RNAcentral is "lncRNA (ENSNMEG00000002576.1)". The record is from RNAcentral. Lineage: Eukaryota; Metazoa; Chordata; Aves; Galliformes; Numididae.